ACCAACAUGAAAACACUGGUUCUCAUAUGAUCACUGAAGUUAAGCAAUGUCAAGCUUAGUCAUUACCUAGAUGGGUGACCAUUUGAGAAUACCAGGUACUGUAA
This is a non-coding RNA of Acanthosepion pharaonis, 104 nucleotides long. The record is from the annotation of a GenBank genome assembly. Lineage: Eukaryota; Metazoa; Mollusca; Cephalopoda; Sepiida; Sepiidae.